GACGAACGCUGGCGGCGUGCCUAAUACAUGCAAGUCGAACGCUUUGAUUUUCACCGGAGCUUGCUCCACCGAAAAUCAAAGAGUGGCGGACGGGUGAGUAACACGUGGGCAACCUGCCCAACAGAGGGGGAUAACACUUGGAAACAGGUGCUAAUACCGCAUAAUUUGUUUUUCCGCAUGGAAGAAUAAUAAAAGACGCUUCGGUGUCACUGUUGGAUGGGCCCGCGCUGCAUUAGUUAGUUGGUGGGGUAACGGCCUACCAAGACCAUGAUGCAUAGCCGACCUGAGAGGGUGAUCGGCCACACUGGGACUGAGACACGGCCCAGACUCCUACGGGAGGCAGCAGUAGGGAAUCUUCGGCAAUGGACGAAAGUCUGACCGAGCAACGCCGCGUGAGUGAAGAAGGUUUUCGGAUCGUAAAACUCUGUUGUUAGAGAAGAACAAGUGAGAGAGUUACUGUUCUCACCUUGACGGUAUCUAACCAGAAAGCCACGGCUAACUACGUGCCAGCAGCCGCGGUAAUACGUAGGUGGCAAGCGUUGUCCGGAUUUAUUGGGCGUAAAGCGAGCGCAGGCGGUUUCUUAAGUCUGAUGUGAAAGCCCUCGGCUCAACCGAGGAAGGUCAUUGGAAACUGGGGAACUUGAGUGCAGAAGAGGAGAGUGGAAUUCCAUGUGUAGCGGUGAAAUGCGUAGAUAUGUGGAGGAACACCAGUGGCGAAGGCGACUCUCUGGUCUGUAACUGACGCUGAGGCUCGAAAGCGUGGGGAGCAAACAGG
RNAcentral lists this ribosomal RNA (775 nucleotides) under uncultured bacterium. RNAcentral's name for it is "bacterial SSU rRNA". It matches the Rfam family "Bacterial small subunit ribosomal RNA", at positions 28 to 776 of the family's 1533-position model. The record is from RNAcentral.